GGUUCAGUCUUGUCAGAGGAACCUGUCUUUUCAACGAUACACCACGAAAUAUCUUACUUGAGCUGAUAGAGUAUGUAUACCGUCAUUAUUAGGUAAUUUUUAUAGAAUAAAUUACUAAAAGACUAGCAGUGAAGCUAAAUAUAUUAGAUCAAGGUGCAGCUUAUGCUUAAGUUAAGAUGGGUUACAAUAAUAUUUAUUUAGUACGGAUAUACAGGUUAAAUUCUGUUUGGAAGGAGGAUUUGAUUGUAAAGUCAGUUUAAUAAGCUGUCUAGAUAUAAGCUCUGAAGCAUGUACAUAUCGCCCGUCGCUUCCAUUUAUAAAAUGAGAUAAGUCGUAACAUAGUAGAUGUAC
Molecule: ribosomal RNA, 351 nt
Filed under: Callinectes danae (blue swimming crab)
Lineage: Eukaryota; Metazoa; Arthropoda; Malacostraca; Decapoda; Portunidae
Description: partial small subunit ribosomal RNA
Rfam family: Microsporidia small subunit ribosomal RNA
Source: RNAcentral